RNAcentral lists this ribosomal RNA (253 nucleotides) under uncultured prokaryote. RNAcentral describes it as "partial 16S ribosomal RNA". It matches the Rfam family "Bacterial small subunit ribosomal RNA", at positions 524 to 776 of the family's 1533-position model. The record is from RNAcentral.
UACGUAGGGUGCGAGCGUUAAUCGGAAUUACUGGGCGUAAAGCGUGCGCAGGCGGUUGGGCAAGACCGAUGUGAAAGCCCCGGGCUUAACCUGGGAAUGGCAUUGGUGACUGCUCGGCUAGAGUGUGUCAGAGGGGGGUAGAAUUCCACGUGUAGCAGUGAAAUGCGUAGAGAUGUGGAGGAAUACCGAUGGCGAAGGCAGCCCCCUGGGAUAACACUGACGCUCAGGCACGAAAGCGUGGGGAGCAAACAGG